Aethalodelphis obliquidens (Pacific white-sided dolphin) is the source of this 1234-nucleotide long non-coding RNA. RefSeq lists it as uncharacterized. Lineage: Eukaryota; Metazoa; Chordata; Mammalia; Artiodactyla; Delphinidae. The transcript is spliced from 2 exons. The record is from RefSeq and is a predicted model, not a curated record.
UGACGUCCCGUUGUAAGCUUUCAUCUUAAUUGUCUUCAAUGAAAUUGUACUGAAAGAAGGAAGGCAUUUGGAAGCAAUGAGCUUCAGGGAGUCUUCCAGGCAUCUCGGAAUAUCACAGCCUUCGUGAAGUGUUCUCAUUGCCUGUGGGAUGUGUGGGCCCCAAAUUCAUGGCCCCAAAUUCAUGGCCUCCUUCACAAGGGAGUCUUCCCCUUCUCCAGCAGAACUGAGCUCCUCUGUGAGAUCACUUCCUUGACUGUCUGUCUCCCACCAGUGCUCCAUUAGUGGCUCUGAAGCCCUCUUUCAGAAGCAGAAAGAAGCCCAUGGUUCCAAGCUGAGGUGCUGAGGGUCCACUGCUAUGCCCUUGACCACACGGAGUCAAAUUUUAGGAAUAUCUGCUAGAAAAAAAAGAGCAGACCCUCAUGCUGAGAGAAAGUCUCCCAAGUGGAGUCGGUUCUCUGGAAAACAACUGGAUAUGGUGUUGGUCUUUAUUACAGUUUCCACAGACUAAAAAAAAAAAGUUGUUUAUAAAACAAAAGCCACAUCGAUUUGAUACGGUAACAUUUUUGAGAAUUUUGUUUUUGCACAGCGGAAACCAGGGCUGAUGUGCUCAUGGUGGAAAUGGAGCCUGUUCAGUUACCCCAAAGCACCUCUCCUAAAACACAAAUCUGAGUAAGCCAGGCUCGGCCUUGCCAGGAACAGCCGGCAUUGUUUGGCUCUUUGGAGAGACAGGCGAGGCCAGCAAAGCCCUCACACCAUGCAACACCACGCUCGCACACCCAGGCUCAGGCCUGCCCUCCGAGGGACGCCUCCAGGGUCCUCACCUUCCCUCCAGUCCCCGGACCGCAUGGUGGAGGACACGGUUCUGGCCUGUCCUCGCCAGCGCUAGGACCACCUGGGCAAGAGGAGACUCCUCUCUUGUUUGCAGUUCUGUUCUCAGACAGUGAAAGACGCCAAACGAAACAUUCAUGUUUCCUGCUGUUUUGAGCCAGAUCAUGUGAAAACCAAAGAAAAUCUAUGUUUGCUGGCUUUGAGAACAGGAGUAACUACUUUUUUAAGCACAAAGGAAGCAACUUACAAGGAGCGCCAGACUCACGGGCCUGCCUUUACUGCCGUGUACCACUCCAGACAGCAUGCAGAGUUGGUGGAGAGUAUAAUAAACAUCAGAGAUAUUUUGCAAUUCAUGGCUGACCCAUGCUGACCCUUUCUUUAAUUAAACCUUCCACUUGUGAAUGAA